GACGAACGCUGGCGGCGUGCUUAACACAUGCAAGUCGAACGGAAAGGCCCUGCUUUUGUGGGGUGCUCGAGUGGCGAACGGGUGAGUAACACGUGAGUAACCUGCCCUUGACUUUGGGAUAACUUCAGGAAACUUGGGCUAAUACCGGAUAGGAGCUCCUGCUGCAUGGUGGGGGUUGGAAAGUUUCGGCGGUUGGGGAUGGACUCGCGGCUUAUCAGCUUGUUGGUUGGGUAGUGGCUUACCAAGGCUUUGACGGGUAGCCGGCCUGAGAGGGUGACCGGCCACAUUGGGACUGAGAUACGGCCCAGACUCCUACGGGAGGCAGCAGUGGGGAAUAUUGCACAAGGGGAGGAAGCCUGAUGCAGCAACGCCGCGUGCGGGAUGACGGCCUUCGGGUUGUAAACCGAUUUCGCCUGUGACGAAGCGUGAGUGACGGUAAUGGGUAAAGAAGCACCGGCUAACUACGUG
Molecule: ribosomal RNA, 468 nt
Filed under: uncultured bacterium
Lineage: Bacteria
Description: partial 16S ribosomal RNA
Rfam family: Bacterial small subunit ribosomal RNA
Source: RNAcentral